GCUAUGAUUAUUAUCUUUUUAACCCUGAGAUCCCUCGGUGAGGAUCAAAAUACAACAACAACACUCUAAUUUUUUAAUGAGC
Pyrenophora tritici-repentis Pt-1C-BFP is the source of this 82-nucleotide small nucleolar RNA. It matches the Rfam family "A. fimigatus snoRNA Afu_298". The record is from Rfam. NCBI's taxonomy places the organism in Eukaryota, Fungi, Ascomycota, Dothideomycetes, Pleosporales, Pleosporaceae.